AAGGGCGAGACGAUGGCUUCCUGCCUGACUCACUGGCUCUUUACAGGCAGCCGCUGGCUUCUCAGGCCGCUUCCCCUCCAGUAAAAAGGGGCAAGAAGCUCACGAGUACUUGGUAGGGAGCCCGGGAGACCUUUGAUGGCAGGCUCUAAAGCAAGGCCCGCUUCACAAGAGGGCAAUUACGCUUUAGGCUAAUUGGUGCAGAGACGCUGUAAAAGCAUCUUUUUGGAACACAAACAAAAUAGCACGAGGGUGUUGGUGUUUGGCAGCAACGCUACAACGCUUAGAGACACAGGGGAAGCCCACGUGAAGUCUGGAGAUGGGCCAGCCCUCCGCACCAGUCCCGGGCCAGUGUCAUCUUAAAGGCAUUGUGUGGCCUCUGACACCAUGACUGCUGGAGGAUUAUUUUCAGGAGUCCACGGGGCCAACAAACAUGUUACUCACUCAAGAUGUGCGUCACCGCCCCCCCCACUCCUACCAAAUGGAAGAACUACUUGAUGACCAUGAGCAAACAGCUCCAGGCCUCCUGGAGCCUAAGGACUGAUAAGGUUAACCCCUGUGACACCACCCUGCUGCCUCACCAUCAGCCAAUCAGAGAAUUGUGCGCAAGCUGAUCACGUACCCUGGCACCCCCACCCACCUGGCCUUUAAAAAUGCUUUGCCGAAGCUCUAUUUACAAUAGCCCGGAGAUGGAAACAACCUAAGUGCCCAUCAUCGGAUGAAUGGAUAAAGAAGAUGUGGCACAUAUAUACAAUGGAAUAUUACUCAGCCAUAAAAAGAAACGAAAUUGAGCUAUUUGUA
This is a long non-coding RNA of Globicephala melas (long-finned pilot whale), 798 nucleotides long. RefSeq lists it as uncharacterized. The record is from RefSeq and is a predicted model, not a curated record. Lineage: Eukaryota; Metazoa; Chordata; Mammalia; Artiodactyla; Delphinidae.